UGUCCAGGGUGGGAAUCGAACCCACAGUGUUCCGCUUACCGGGCAGAUGCCAUGUCUACUAGGCUCUCUACCCUGGAC
RNAcentral lists this transfer RNA (78 nucleotides) under Cordylochernes scorpioides. Its description in RNAcentral is "tRNA-Thr". Lineage: Eukaryota; Metazoa; Arthropoda; Arachnida; Pseudoscorpiones; Chernetidae. The record is from RNAcentral.